AGAAGCAGCAGAUAUGUUAGGAAUAUUGCACAGCCUUGUAAUCUUAGUACUCUUAACUGCAAUUGAAAUGUCUGGAAUGACAGUAACUUGUUUGGGCUGCCAUCAUGAAGCUAGACUUCAUUUAUCAUUAACUUUAUUUUUGGGCUGCAAUCCCUAAUUCUACUGAGAUAUAGAAGAGACACAGGAGGCAGAAGCCACAGAGAAAAAACACCAAAAGGCUUCAAGUACACUGUGAUCGUCUAUUCAAGUCUUUCUCUGUUGAUAAAGUUUUCCAAAAUCAUAAUAGAAGAAUCUCAAAAUAGUGACAAAACAGUAACCUUCUUUGUUGAUUAGCUAACCUGGCUUCUGCGGAGAUUAGAUUCUGGGCUGUGUGUCUGAAACAUUGUCUACUAUCCUGGCCUUGUAUUCUUAUCAAUAACAAAAAUAUUAUUUCCAGCCACCUAUCUCUU
Molecule: long non-coding RNA, 449 nt
Filed under: Chinchilla lanigera (long-tailed chinchilla)
Lineage: Eukaryota; Metazoa; Chordata; Mammalia; Rodentia; Chinchillidae
Description: lncRNA (ENSCLAG00000027033.1)
Source: RNAcentral